Ornithodoros turicata is the source of this 548-nucleotide long non-coding RNA. RefSeq lists it as uncharacterized. NCBI's taxonomy places the organism in Eukaryota, Metazoa, Arthropoda, Arachnida, Ixodida, Argasidae. The record is from RefSeq and is a predicted model, not a curated record. The transcript has 2 exons.
UUAGCGCCGCUUUGUACUCUGAGAACUUGCUUAUAACAAAAGAGGAGAAGAUAUCCAAACUGUUUCGGUUCCUCCUCUCUCGGCUGGUUGUCCACAAUGAAGUAAUCCCCCAGGAUGCAGAGCGUGCAGGAUGCAGGAUGCAGGAUGCAGGACCAGGAUGCAGGAUGCAGAGCGUGCGCAAGGAGCACUGGGAUUUUCUGAAAUCGUCUAUUGGACGAAGAAUAUCAAGCAGACCUUCUUCGCUUGCACACGGUUGCUCCUGGUUGCGUCCUCCACCGUGCUCUAAGAAACACCGUGCGUCCUGGGCCAACUUCGUAGGUUACUGUGGAUACUGUUCAGAUAUCUCCUUGAAAUCAGUGCAACGAUCCAAAUCCAAGUCGGCGCACGGUCAUCUUCUCUCCCUUUGGUUGUGCCUUCGUCAAGCAUCGCAAAUUACAUGAAGCCCCAGAACAGCCUGCUGAAGCACAGCCUGACACAAGCACAGACCUGACGUCCUGACAGGCUUGUCAAAUGCAUCAAUAAAUAAUGCACAAUUUUUUGUAAUUAUU